Molecule: non-coding RNA, 1925 nt
Organism: Peromyscus maniculatus bairdii (prairie deer mouse)
Lineage: Eukaryota; Metazoa; Chordata; Mammalia; Rodentia; Cricetidae
Source: RefSeq, a predicted model, not a curated record
UAAAAAUUAAUAAAGACCAGAGUUGACUGGAGGAGACCUAUUGGAAAUCUGGUGGCAAACAUGAAGGAAGAAACCAAGAAAAACUAUAAGACAAGUAACAUAUAUGAUGAUCCCUCUACUAUGGGAACAGCUCUGAGACUAGCUCAGUGGUGGCUCACAGCUACCCAACUAGCUAAGGCCAGGCUUGGGGAUUUUCAGCACUGUCUUCAGCGGACAUGGAAAUCUGUCAGCCAAUUCUUCCCAUGCACAAUAAGGAGAAAGGAAAUGAAAAGCUGUAAAACCUGUGAAAGAUCUAAUAAAGAUCAGAUUUGACCAAGGGAGACCUCCUGAGGAUCAUAGCUACAGACAUGAGAGAAGAAUCGAGGAAAGAGUACAGGACAGAUGACAUGUGUUCUGAUCCCUCUGCAUGAGAACAACUCUGAGAUUGGAUGAAGCAUGCUGGGUUUUGUUGUUGUUGUUUGGCUACAGAAUGCUCAUGACUUAUUGUUACAUGCCACCCUUUCAUAUGGCAUGAAUGGAGGUUUGGUAUUCAAAUGGACUUAUAAAGUUAAUAGAUGCCUUUACCUCCUAAAAAGUAAAACAGAAAAUCAUCUUUAGCUGACUUGUACACACUGCAUAUUCCAUACUUGUGUUUAUGCAGAUAUAUAUGUUGCCUUUAAUAGUUUAUGUGUUUUCAGAACAACAACAACAAAAAAAAAAAAACACCAAUAAAGACAAGAAGCCCAGAUGAUCUAGCCUCUCAGAAUUCCUCUGCUGCAGUUUCCUCAAAACUCUGCAUCCAAAACAACUUCAAAGCUGCUAGACAAUUUUUAAAAGGAUGUUUCAAUAGAUAUUUGCUUCUAUGCCUAGCAAGAUUAUGAGGAAUAAAGAGCUCUUUCUGGUCUCAACCAGGUUUGUAGUGGUAGCACACAACCACAAAACCACUAUGUAUGGAACUCAACCAUUCCAAAGAAAGCGCAGUGAACAUUUUUACACAUCUUCAGGAGUUGGAAUGAACAGAUAUUUACCAACUUUUCUAUCUGAUAACAAGAUAAAUAUGCCCAAAGAAUUUCAAAUCAGAAAUUAAAUAUACAAAACAAAGUCAUAAACUUUUGGAAUCAUGCUGGAUCUACAAGGAUUCUCAAUGGAUUUCCCUACAGGGGCAUGGAGAGCACACUUCACAUGUUUGAUAUGACAGACGCAGAAAUGGCCUGCUGACUUAAGUGGAAGAAAAUUUUUGGUGGCUGGUGGAAAUGUUACCCCAAUUUCUGCUUGCAAAGUGCCUUGAAAGAGCAAGGGCCAAUCAAGGAAGCUGGCAUGUCUGCUUUACUUCAUCGUUUGCUUCCGUUUCAUCCAGGCCAGCAGCCUCCGGGCGAAGGCCAACACAUCACUAAUUGUGGUUUUCUGAAAUCCUACACUUCUGUGUCACUUGUCACCAUUUCUCUCUUACACAGAAAAAGGAAUUGAAUUACAACUCACUUGCCUAGGUCUCUCAGCUCAAGGUUUUUCAGGAGACCAAGCUGGAAGCGGGAGGACGAGGACACAGGCAAACUGCUGGGCCAGGCAUUUACCGUUCAAUGGUUGCCCAGAGAAGCUUCAACAGGGAGCAUCCAGCUCUCAGCCUCUGGACCAAAGUGGCAGUAAAACUACAGAAUGGAGGAAGACCCCAGAGAGCUAAGGAAUAAAGUGAAGACAAAAGCCACAAGAUAACAUCUCUUUAAGGGUUUUCACCUCACUCUCUCCGUGUGAUACAAAGGGUCAAGUGGAGGAAACAGCAGCUGCUAUUUCUCACAGCUUUAAAAGAACUGACAAACAUUUCUCAGUGCCACUCUCCUUUCAAAUAAUAAAUGUGUCACCUUUGCAAACUGCAAUGAGUAUUUGGGGAAUUAGAUGUCCAAGAGAAAACAUCUAUAUGACAGAGUGAAACUCUAGUUCAUGGCCAAUGA